This 362-nucleotide unclassified non-coding RNA is filed under the name soil metagenome. RNAcentral describes it as "partial contains 5.8S ribosomal RNA, internal transcribed spacer 2, and large subunit ribosomal RNA". The stretch from base 1 to 120 matches the Rfam family "5.8S ribosomal RNA", at positions 35 to 154 of the family's 154-position model. The record is from RNAcentral.
GAUGAAGAACGUAGUGAAAUGCGAUAAGUAAUGUGAAUUGCAGAAUUCAGUGAAUCAUCGAAUCUUUGAACGCACCUUGCGCUCCUUGGUAUUCCGAGGAGCAUGCCUGUUUGAGUGUCAUUAAUAUAUCAACCUUCUCUUUUUUGAGUUGUUUGGAUGUGGGGGUUUGCUGGCCUCUUAAAUGAUUCAGCUCCCCUGAAAUGCAUUAGCAGAACAACCUGUUCAUUAGCGUGAUAAUUAUCUAUGCUAUUGAAUGUGAGGGCAGUUCAGCUUUCUAACCGUCCUUGGACAAUUCAUCAUUAAUGUGACCUCAAAUCAGGUAGGACUACCCGCUGAACUUAAGCAUAUCAAUAAGCGGAGGA